AGCUCCAAUAGCGUAUAUUUAAGUUGUUGCAGUUAAAAAGCUCGUAGUUGGAUUUCGGUUGAGAGCGGCCGGUCCGCCGUUUGGUGUGCACUGGCUGGUCUCAGCUUCCUGCGGAGGACGCACUCUGGGGCUAACGCUUCGGAUGUGGAGUCCGCGUGGUUACUUUGAAAAAAUUAGAGUGUUCAAAGCGGGCUUACGCUUGCAUACUUCAGCAUGGAAUAACACUAUAGGACUCCUGUCCUAUUUCGUUGGUCUCGGGACGGGAGUAAUGAUUAAGAGGAACAGUUGGGGGCAUUCGUAUGAAAGUGCUAGAGGUGAAAUUCUUGGAUUUCUUUCAGACGAACUUCUGCGAAAGCAUUUGCCAAGGAUGUUUUCAUUA
RNAcentral lists this ribosomal RNA (379 nucleotides) under uncultured Mantoniella. Its description in RNAcentral is "SSU rRNA". It matches the Rfam family "Eukaryotic small subunit ribosomal RNA", at positions 587 to 975 of the family's 1831-position model. The record is from RNAcentral. Lineage: Eukaryota; Viridiplantae; Chlorophyta; Mamiellophyceae; Mamiellales.